RNAcentral lists this ribosomal RNA (1012 nucleotides) under Salmonella enterica subsp. enterica serovar Mikawasima. RNAcentral's name for it is "partial 23S ribosomal RNA". It matches the Rfam family "Bacterial large subunit ribosomal RNA", at positions 200 to 1251 of the family's 2925-position model. The record is from RNAcentral. Lineage: Bacteria; Pseudomonadati; Pseudomonadota; Gammaproteobacteria; Enterobacterales; Enterobacteriaceae.
AUCUAAGUACCCCGAGGAAAAGAAAUCAACCGAGAUUCCCCCAGUAGCGGCGAGCGAACGGGGAGGAGCCCAGAGCCUGAAUCAGCAUGUGUGUUAGUGGAAGCGUCUGGAAAGGCGCGCGAUACAGGGUGACAGCCCCGUACACAAAAGCGCAUGUGCUGUGAGCUCGAUGAGUAGGGCGGGACACGUGGUAUCCUGUCUGAAUAUGGGGGGACCAUCCUCCAAGGCUAAAUACUCCUGACUGACCGAUAGUGAACCAGUACCGUGAGGGAAAGGCGAAAAGAACCCCGGCGAGGGGAGUGAAAAAGAACCUGAAACCGUGUACGUACAAGCAGUGGGAGCACCCUUUGGGGUGUGACUGCGUACCUUUUGUAUAAUGGGUCAGCGACUUAUAUUCUGUAGCAAGGUUAACCGUAUAGGGGAGCCGGAGGGAAACCGAGUCUUAACCGGGCGUUAAGUUGCAGGGUAUAGACCCGAAACCCGGUGAUCUAGCCAUGGGCAGGUUGAAGGUUGGGUAACACUAACUGGAGGACCGAACCGACUAAUGUUGAAAAAUUAGCGGAUGACCUGUGGCUGGGGGUGAAAGGCCAAUCAAACCGGGAGAUAGCUGGUUCUCCCCGAAAGCUAUUUAGGUAGCGCCUCGUGAAUUCAUCUCCGGGGGUAGAGCACUGUUUCGGCUAGGGGGCCAUCCCGGCUUACCAACCCGAUGCAAACUGCGAAUACCGGAGAAUGUUAUCACGGGAGACACACGGCGGGUGCUAACGUCCGUCGUGAAGAGGGAAACAACCCAGACCGCCAGCUAAGGUCCCAAAGUCAUGGUUAAGUGGGAAACGAUGUGGGAAGGCCCAGACAGCCAGGAUGUUGGCUUAGAAGCAGCCAUCAUUUAAAGAAAGCGUAAUAGCUCACUGGUCGAGUCGGCCUGCGCGGAAGAUGUAACGGGGCUAAACCAUGCACCGAAGCUGCGGCAGCGACGCUUAUGCGUUGUUGGGUAGGGGAGCGUUCUGUAAGCCUG